GCCAAGCUGGACUCCACACUAAAAAAGAUGGGAUUCGAGCAAAGCCCGCAUGAGGCGGCCGUCUACCGAUGGGGCAGUGGAGGAAAUGCCCUGCUGGUGGGCGUCUAUGUUGACGACUUGGUGAUCACCGGCACCAAAGAUGCAGAGGUGGCGGCGUUCAAGGAAGACAUGAAGGCCACCUUCCAGAUGAGUGAUCUGGGGCUCCUCUCCUUUUAUCUAGGGAUUGAGGUGCACCAGGAUCACUCCGGGAUCGCGCUUCGACAGUCCGCCUACGCCAAGCACAUCGUUGAGCUAGCUGGGCUCACCGAUUGCCACCCAGCUCUCACUCCAAUGGAAGAGAGGCUGAAACUGAGCCGCGAUAGCACGACGGAGGAAGUGGACGCUACGCAGUACCGACGCCUUGUGGGGAGCCUUCGCUACCUCGCCCACACACGGCCGGACUUGGCCUUCUCCGUCGGCUAUGUCAGUCGGUUCAUGGAGCGACCGAUGACGGAACACCAGCAGGCAGUGAAGAGGAUCGUCCACUACAUAGCAGGGACCCUUGACCACGGCCUCCACUACCCUAGGUGUCCGAGGGCGGCACACUUCGUCGGGUACAGCGACAGCGACCACGCCGGCGACAUCGACACCAGCAAGAGCACGAGCGGGAUCCUCUUCUUCCUCAGCAAGUGCCUCGUGAGCUGGCAAUCAGUCAAGCAGCAGGUGGUGGCCUUGUCCAGCUGUGAGGCUGAGUACAUAGCGGCCUCCACCGCCUGCACUCAGGCGCUCUGGCUCGCUCGG
RNAcentral lists this ribosomal RNA (780 nucleotides) under Triticum aestivum (bread wheat). RNAcentral's name for it is "partial small subunit ribosomal RNA". Lineage: Eukaryota; Viridiplantae; Streptophyta; Magnoliopsida; Poales; Poaceae. The record is from RNAcentral.